This 497-nucleotide ribosomal RNA is filed under the name uncultured bacterium. RNAcentral describes it as "partial 16S ribosomal RNA". It matches the Rfam family "Bacterial small subunit ribosomal RNA", at positions 28 to 507 of the family's 1533-position model. The record is from RNAcentral.
GAUGAACGCUGGCGGCGUGCCUAAUACAUGCAAGUCGAGCGAACAGACGAGGAGCUUGCUCCUCUGACGUUAGCGGCGGACGGGUGAGUAACACGUGGAUAACCUACCUAUAAGACUGGGAUAAUUUCGGGAAACCGGAGCUAAUACCGGAUAAUAUAUUGAACCGCAUGGUUCAAUAGUGAAAGACGGUUUUGCUGUCACUUAUAGAUGGAUCCCCGCCGCAUGAGCUAGUUGGUAAGGUAACGGCUUACCAAGGCGACGAUGCGUAGCCGACCUGAGAGGGUGAUCGGCCACACGGGAACUGGGACACGGUCCAGACUCCUACGGGAGGCAGCAGUAGGGAAUCUUCCGCAAUGGGCGAAAGCCUGACGGAGCAACGCCGCGUGAGUGGUGAAGGUCUUCGGAGCGUAAAACUCUGUUAUGAGGGAAGAACAGAUGUGUAAGUAACUAUGCACGUCUUGACGGUACCUAAUCAGAAAGCCACGGCUAACUACGUG